Molecule: ribosomal RNA, 593 nt
Filed under: Nepenthes spectabilis
Lineage: Eukaryota; Viridiplantae; Streptophyta; Magnoliopsida; Caryophyllales; Nepenthaceae
Description: eukaryotic LSU rRNA
Rfam family: 5.8S ribosomal RNA (bases 271-426)
Source: RNAcentral
GAUCAUUGUCGAAAAUUGCCAAGCAGAGCGACCCGCGGACAUGUUGAAAUAAAUCGUCGGGGGCACGGCGCCUAACGUGGCACGGCGCCCUCGACUGCCGGCCGAGCCCGCACCUUAGGGCCUGCUCCAGGAGCGGCAACGGGGGUGCGGGGCAAGGCUUGGCACAAGAACGAACCCCGGCGGGGAUCGCGCCAAGGAACGGUAACAUAGCGUGCGCUGCCUUGCCGCCGGAUGCCCGGCGAGCGAGGUGGCGACCUGUCGUAUCUGAACGACUCUCGGCAACGGAUAUCUCGGCUCUCGCGUCGAUGAAGAACGUAGCGAAAUGCGAUACUUGGUGUGAAUUGCAGAAUCCCGUGAACCAUCGAGUCUUUGAACGCAAGUUGCGCCCGAAGCCUCUAGGCUGAGGGCACGUCUGCCUGGGCGUCACGCAUAGCGUCGCCCCCGACCAAGCCACGGCGUCUCUGCAUGCUAGGUUGGGGCGGAGAGUGGCCUCCCGUGCGCCGUCGUGCGGCUGGCCUAAAAUUGGAGCUCGGCGACUGCGCCACGGCGUCCGGUGGUCGGCAAGGCGAAGGCAAAGGUUGCAUCGCGUCGUC